GCGCGGGCACGGUGAGCGCCCUGACCGGCGGGCUCGUGACCCGCCCGGCGGUGUGGGCGCAGGCGCUGGUGCUGGCCCUGGCGCCCGCGCU
RNAcentral lists this transfer RNA (91 nucleotides) under Deinococcus soli (ex Cha et al. 2016). Its description in RNAcentral is "tRNA-Thr". Lineage: Bacteria; Thermotogati; Deinococcota; Deinococci; Deinococcales; Deinococcaceae. The record is from RNAcentral.